Molecule: long non-coding RNA, 3473 nt
Organism: Apis cerana (Asiatic honeybee)
Lineage: Eukaryota; Metazoa; Arthropoda; Insecta; Hymenoptera; Apidae
Source: RefSeq, a predicted model, not a curated record
UAAAAAUCUUUAUAAAUAAAUGAAAAAAGUUUAUAUUUAAAUUUAUUUAAAUAAUAAUUAUUUAAAAAAUUAUUGUAUAUAUGAACUUGAAAAUUUUGAUGAAAUUUUUUUUCUAAAAAGGGAAAAUUUCUAAAAGUAUUUUUGAAUUAUAUAAAUAAUACAUAAGAUUAUUCAAAGUUUACAUUAUUGAUGAAUUGUGGAUAAUAAUAAUGUAUUAAAUUAUCUCGUUAAGUUGAGAAAAAUAUGGAGUAUUAAAUUAAACAUGCAUCUACAACAGGUGUUUGGAUGCAAUUCGAUUGUUAUGCAAACGACCUCCAUUACGAAUACAUUCUCUCUCUUGUGAAUCUAUUCUGAAGAUCGUUACCUAUAUUUGAAAGUACAGUUUAACCGAUAUUCUGUGAACGCGCGCGUGUAACGGUGUCGUGUGAAUGGAAGAACGUAUAAUACAUUAAAAAUUAUAUUUUUCUUUCAUUGCAAUUCUUCACUGGAUAAUAAUAUUUUGCUAUUAGAUUAAAGUUGUUAAUUUUUCUAUUCAAUAUUAUAUUAACAUUAAAAUUUUGUUCUACUUUUAUUGGAAUUUUUAUGCAUUUUUAUAAUCUGUAUUCUAAAAAGAAGAAAAUAAUCAAUGAUAGAAUAGAAGACGAUAAUCGAUUUUAAUUAAUUCAUUAGGCUAAUUAUUAAAGUCGAUGUGAUUCAGUUUCAAAUACCAACACCUGUGCGUUUCCUCGCAAUUUAACAGAGAAGCAGGUUCUUGUAUAGGAAGGCAAAUAUUCAAGAGAAAAUGAAUUCGAAAUCGUGAAGCGGGAUACUGACUUCAUUGUUAUGCGGACAACGUUGCUAGGUCACCAGUGCAUUUCACGCGACAAUGCACGACGAUAAUCCUCCUUUGAUUUGACGUCUCUUCCUUUUCAUUCUUUCCUCCCUCCUCUUAUAAUAUUAUUAUUUCACGGGACCAGGCCUCGAGUUAUAACUGUACAUUUCUGUAGUGGCACGAUAGGUCUUGGCAUUAACUAUGUUACGUAAUGACUGGUUUUCUCGGAGAAUGAAUUCUUGGUGCGCGACCUGCCUCUUUUUCCUUCUUCGAGACCGUUCGCUUCAGGGACCACACGAGUAAAUCCCAAUGUACAGUUACUUAUUUGUACAAACAUGAGAAACUCGAGCGACGAUAUCGGUCAACGGACCCCAAACUUGUCCAUCCUCUUUUAUAAUAUAAUUGACAAAUAUUAAAAAAACUUCUAAUUGCGAAGAUAGUGAAAUUUACUUAUAUCUUCUACAAUUUUCAUAUUGAAAUUCUUGUCAUUUUUUCUUUUAUAAUAAUUAUUAGAUCAAAUUCUAGAUCUUUAAAAACACUUUUAUUAUUAUUAAAAAUUGAAGGACGCAUUAAAGUUAAAUUAUUUUUAUAUAUAUUUUGAAAAGUAAAAUACUAGAUAUUUAAAAAAAUACUAGAUAGUUUAAAUGGCAGAAUCUUUAUCCAAAAAACAUAAUUGAUUGAUGAACAUAAUUGAAAGGCGUUUUAUUUAAAGAAAUGAUCUUUCGUGUGCAACAUGCAACAGAUGUUGCAUGUAUAGUCAGUUACAGAAAUACUUUUACUCUAUAUUACAAGAAAAUUCAAUUUAUCCGAUUUUAUUAAAAUUUUGAUUUUAUUAAAAAUUUGAGUGUAUAUAAAGCAAUAAUGAAUUAUAUAUUGGAACCAUUUUUUUUUUCAUUGGGAAAUUUCCGGUGAAAUUUCUGAAGAGGUGAAAUCAAUUGAAGUUUCAUUAUUUUUUUAAUUUUACAAAAUACAAUUUCGUUUAAAGAUAUUAUUCAUAAGAUAAUAGAAUAUUAAAAAUUAAAUUUAUUAUUUAAAAAUUUUAUAAUUUAUAAUUUAACUUUGUAAUACAAGAUAAAGUAAAAUUUUAAAUUAUUUUGAAUAUUAUACUUCAUUUCCUUAAAGAUUUUAAUUUUUAUAUAUAAAAGAUUAUAUAUAAUAUAUUAUAAUUAUAAAUAUAUAUAUAAAUGAUUUAUUGUAUUUGAUAUAUACUCAAAUUAAUAAAAUUUUUGGAUAAAGUAAAUUCUUAUAAUAUAUAGUAAUAUUUCUAUGAUUAAUUAUAUUUUAAUAAGUUAUUGAUUUAAAAUUAUAAGCAAAAAUUCAUUUUUUUAAUUGAUUAUUUAAAUUAUAUAUAUAAAACUAUGAUAAUAUUUAUUAUCUAUUUUUUAUUUAAUCAUUAAUUAUUCAAGAAUAACUUCUUUCGUAAAUAUGUCUUUAUUUUAAUAAGUCCUGUUGUAAAUUCUUAGGUAAAUUAAAAUAAAAAUGAAUAAAAAUAUUAUAAGUUAAUAAAAUUUAAUUAAAAUAAAUUAUUCUCUGUUUAGAUGUUUAAAUAUUUUAUUGAUUUUUAAAAGAAGAUUAUGAAAAAAGAUUAUGAAAAAAACAAAUUAAGAUAUAAUCUAAUAAUGUUAGUAAAUUUUGUUAUUUCCAUAUUGCUGCAAAAAUUGUUGAAGAUCAAUGUAUGAAAUUUUAUAUUGCUAUUAAUAUUAAUUUUAUUAUAUUAAAUUAAAAUAAAUUAAAAUUACAUGGAUAUUUAAAAUACGAAAUAUAAAAUAUUGUAAUCAAAUAAAUUUAUUGAAUGUUAUAUAUAAUAUAUAUAUAAAUAUAGAAUUUAUUAUUCUAUAUAAAGACUAGUAUAAGAUAUAAAAGAUAUAUCUAUUACAUGUGUGAAUAAAAGAUAAAAAUCAUUCAAAUAAGUAUGAUAACUAUCUUGAAAUAGACUUAAAUGUUCUAUUAUCAAAAUGAUGAGAGACCAAUGAUACUGUUAUAUUCUAGUCAUGUGCAAGUCUCAAUUGAGGCUACUCGACUACACGAUUAGGAUUCCAAUAGAAUUUGGUCACUUCCUGAUGUUAUCGCAAUUUCGUCAUUUUGGUGCCAAAGAAAUCUGAAAGUUAAUUUCAAAAUAUCAGUUUAUACAUUGCAAUUGAAAUUAGAAAAUUAGAAUCAUCAUUUAAUGAUGAAUGCAAAAAAUAAAAAUUAUUUCUAUUAAUUUAUUUAAUUUAAUUUAAAAUUAAUUUUUGUAAGAGCUUCCAAGUUUUAAUUUUUUAAUUCCAAUUUUUAUUGUUAUCAAUUGUAUUUUAUUAUAUAUUAUAUUGUUAUCAAUUGUAUUAUAUUAUAUAUUAUAUUUUUAUUAUCUAUAAUUGUCAUUAUAUUAUUAUCUAUAAUUGUAUCAUUAUAUUAUUAAUUAUAAUAUUUUUAUUUUUUACCUUAUAUUAUAAAUUUAUCUUGGUAUUUUAAAAUAAAUAUGCAAAAGAAUUACAAUAAUAAGUAAGCAAGAUAAUUUUUGCAAAAUAAUUCUUUAAUCUAUUUUAAACUUAGUUUAAAUUAGUUCUGUCCAAAAUUAUUUUUAUAUGAUAAAAAAUAUUAUUUGUCUAAAUAUAAAAAUAUAAAAAUUAAAUUAAUUGUAAAUUAAUGAAUAAAAUUCAAUAAAAAAUAUAUAAUUUUUAAA